UACGUAGGUGGCGAGCGUUGUCCGGAAUCACUGGGCGUAAAGGGCGCGUAGGCGGCUCAUGAAGGCUGUGGUGAAAGUCCGGGGCUCAACCUCGGAUCGGCCGUGGCGACUCGUGGGCUGGAGCACUGUAGAGGCGGGUGGAAUUCCGGGUGUAGCAGUGAAAUGCGUAGAUAUGCGGAGGAACACCGAUGGCGAAGGCAAUCCCCUGGGCCUGCACUGACGCUCAUGCACGAAAGCGUGGGGAGCAAACAGG
Molecule: ribosomal RNA, 253 nt
Filed under: uncultured bacterium
Lineage: Bacteria
Description: partial 16S ribosomal RNA
Rfam family: Bacterial small subunit ribosomal RNA
Source: RNAcentral